UAAAUUCGAGCUUUGUUGAUCCAAAGCAUCUAUCUUCCGAAAACUAAAAAAUGCGGCUACUGAAACCCUCCCCAAAAACAAAUCAACACCCUCGAAACCUCAAAGAACAAAAGAUCUGCACAAAUUCCACGAGAAAAACCAAGAAAACUGAUGGAUCUACGAAUCCAACUAACAGAUUAUCUAAAACCCAAAAAAACGACAUCGAAAAAACCUGGGGAAUGGCGCGCGACUGUAAACCCUAGUCGCCUCUGCCUCGGGCCACCCUUCUUCUCCAGGAGCACAGCACGCUCGAAGAAGAAGAGAGAGAGAGAGAGAUGGGUUGUUUUUUUCUUUUUUUGGCCUAUUUCUGUCCGCCAAUUUCCCUGGCUCGGGUUGUCGCCAUUCCGUGAAGCGAAUCCACGACGUGAAGUUUAG
Molecule: long non-coding RNA, 414 nt
Filed under: Elaeis guineensis (African oil palm)
Lineage: Eukaryota; Viridiplantae; Streptophyta; Magnoliopsida; Arecales; Arecaceae
Description: long non-coding RNA (EGUI_LNC080546)
Source: RNAcentral